RNAcentral lists this transfer RNA (63 nucleotides) under Bos taurus (domestic cattle). It matches the Rfam family "tRNA". From Rfam's summary of the family: Transfer RNA (tRNA) molecules are approximately 80 nucleotides in length. The record is from Rfam by way of RNAcentral. RNAcentral also lists the same sequence under 4 other names. Lineage: Eukaryota; Metazoa; Chordata; Mammalia; Artiodactyla; Bovidae.
UCUCAGAUGGUAACGCAUCUGCUUACAAUGCAGAAGACCCAGGUUCGAUUCCUGGGUUGAGAA